AGCUCCAAUAGCGUAUAUUAAAGUUGUUGUGGUUAAAAAGCUCGUAGUUGGAUCUCGGCGGUCUGAGGGCGGUUCGCUUGAUUGAGUGCUACUGCUCUAUAGGCCGUGGUUUUGCCAGAGGUCUCGGGGUGCUCUUAACCGAGUGUCCUGCGAUGCUGGCAGGUUUACUUUGAAAAAAUUAGAGUGCUCAAAGCAGGCUUUUACGCCUGAAUAUUCGUGCAUGGAAUAAUAGAAUAGGAAGUCGUUUCUAUUUUGUUGGUUUUCGGAAAUCGACUUAAUGAUUAAUAGGGACAGUCGGGGGCAUUUGUAUUCAAACGACAGAGGUGAAAUUCUUGGAUUUGUUAAAGACGGACUACUGUGAAAGCAUUUGCCAAGGAUGUUUUCA
This 385-nucleotide ribosomal RNA is filed under the name marine copepod environmental sample. RNAcentral describes it as "SSU rRNA". It matches the Rfam family "Eukaryotic small subunit ribosomal RNA", at positions 587 to 972 of the family's 1831-position model. The record is from RNAcentral. Lineage: Eukaryota; Metazoa; Arthropoda; Copepoda.